Non-coding RNA from Caenorhabditis brenneri, 71 nucleotides. NCBI's taxonomy places the organism in Eukaryota, Metazoa, Nematoda, Chromadorea, Rhabditida, Rhabditidae. The record is from the annotation of a GenBank genome assembly.
UCUCUUGUGGCGCAGUGGUUAGCGCUCUCGUUUUCAAAACUUUCAUCCCGGGUUCAAACCCAUCAGGGGUG